AUUGAACGCUGGCGGCAGGCCUAACACAUGCAAGUCGAGCGGAUGAAGGGAGCUUGCUCCUGGAUUCAGCGGCGGACGGGUGAGUAAUGCCUAGGAAUCUGCCUGGUCGUGGGGGAUAACGUCCGGAAACGGGCGCUAAUACCGCAUACGUCCUGAGGGAGAAAGUGGGGGAUCUUCGGACCUCACGCUAUCAGAUGAGCCUAGGUCGGAUUAGCUAGUUGGUGGGGUAAAGGCCUACCAAGGCGACGAUCCGUAACUGGUCUGAGAGGAUGAUCAGUCACACUGGAACUGAGACACGGUCCAGACUCCUACGGGAGGCAGCAGUGGGGAAUAUUGGACAAUGGGCGAAAGCCUGAUCCAGCCAUGCCGCGUGUGUGAAGAAGGUCUUCGGAUUGUAAAGCACUUUAAGUUGGGAGGAGGGGCAGUAAGUUAAUACCUUGCUGUCUUGACGUUACCAACAGAAUAAGCACCGGCUAACUACGUG
This 484-nucleotide ribosomal RNA is filed under the name uncultured bacterium. RNAcentral's name for it is "partial 16S ribosomal RNA". It matches the Rfam family "Bacterial small subunit ribosomal RNA", at positions 30 to 507 of the family's 1533-position model. The record is from RNAcentral.